GCAGCUAGCUAGGCAGCCUUUUUGGAAAGGAUUUUGUGGGCUAGGCAAUUUGCUUCRGCUGAGAGUGUUGCAGGCUUUUUGGUGAGAAUCAUGAAGAUCUUUCACCUUGGGAAACCAAGUCACAGGAAGCACGUGGUGCAUCUGCAUUAGAAGACUACAGAGGCAUGCACCU
Long non-coding RNA from Nothoprocta perdicaria, 172 nucleotides. RefSeq lists it as uncharacterized. The record is from RefSeq and is a predicted model, not a curated record. NCBI's taxonomy places the organism in Eukaryota, Metazoa, Chordata, Aves, Tinamiformes, Tinamidae. The transcript has 2 exons.